GUUCACAGUCUAUUAAUCUACACACUGUCCCUUCCUGGUGACCAGACCAUGGUCACCUGAUUGAAGAAGCAGGACUGGGGAUGAGGAUAGAUUUUUUCCAUCUUAGUAUUAAAUGCCUUUCCUUCCCAAAGUCUGAAUUCCUUUAAAUCUGGCUCAUUCUUUUGAUAAAACCCCCAUACAUGUGGGUCCAGCCAAACUUGCAUGGCUGAGCAGACUACUGAAAUAAUAUAAUUAAGUAAUUGCUACACACUCUUGGGGAUGAGGGGUGGGUUGGCAAGGCUCCUAUUCCUUCUUGUUAAACUCUCUACCAGCCUGUGGUUGGAUUGAGGCUGCCCAGAAAAGAGAUGGUAAACUCAGUGAACAUUCAGUGAAGAAGCCAUUUCAUAAUCCCCUUUGCUAAAGAUUGUGUGUCAGCGUUAGAGUCUUUGCAGAGUGAAGCACUCUGUGUGACCGUGGGAUGUACAUUCCCCACUGCAAAUUGAGGCUAAUUGAGCAAACCACUCCGACAGUUUCACCUUCCCUGUCACUGCGCUGCAGUGCACAAAGCUAUUUCAGUGAGAGUGAGAGGGAAAUUUGGCAAGGAAUCUCGGCUUGCACUAUUUAAAUCUGGCAAUGUCAUUCAAGAUGUUCUUGUUCUGUUUCUAGUGUAAUGUUUAAACCCACAAAAUGAGACUGGAAUACUUAACAUGAAGUUAGAAUUAAGACAAAUACACUUGUCAUGCUUAAGAAGUCACAUUUCAGUAAGAUAUGCUACCACUGGCUAAAAGCCACGAAUCUAUCUAUAUCCACACAAUCGACUCGCAGUUGGCCCCAACAACGGAAAAGAACAGCACAGAGGCUAAUCCA
Molecule: long non-coding RNA, 846 nt
Filed under: Bos taurus (domestic cattle)
Lineage: Eukaryota; Metazoa; Chordata; Mammalia; Artiodactyla; Bovidae
Description: long non-coding RNA NONBTAT012076
Source: RNAcentral